RNAcentral lists this ribosomal RNA (1088 nucleotides) under Hypocreales sp. FY-2022b. RNAcentral describes it as "SSU rRNA". It matches the Rfam family "Eukaryotic small subunit ribosomal RNA", at positions 54 to 1153 of the family's 1831-position model. RNAcentral also lists the same sequence under 1 other name. Lineage: Eukaryota; Fungi; Ascomycota; Sordariomycetes; Hypocreales. The record is from RNAcentral.
CAUGUCUAAGUAUAAGCAAUUAUACGGCGAAACUGCGAAUGGCUCAUUAUAUAAGUUAUCGUUUAUUUGAUAAUACUUUACUACUUGGAUAACCGUGGUAAUUCUAGAGCUAAUACAUGCUAAAAAUCCCGACUUCGGAAGGGUUGUAUUUAUUAGAUUAAAAACCAAUGCCCUCUGGGCUCUCUGGUGAAUCAUAAUAACUUGUCGAAUCGCAAGGCCUUGUGCCGGCGAUGGCUCAUUCAAAUUUCUUCCCUAUCAACUUUCGAUGUUUGGGUAUUGGCCAAACAUGGUGGCAACGGGUAACGGAGGGUUAGGGCUCGACCCCGGAGAAGGAGCCUGAGAAACGGCUACUACAUCCAAGGAAGGCAGCAGGCGCGCAAAUUACCCAAUCCCGACACGGGGAGGUAGUGACAAUAAAUACUGAUACAGGGCUCUUAUGGGUCUUGUAAUCGGAAUGAGUACAAUUUAAAUCCCUUAACGAGGAACAAUUGGAGGGCAAGUCUGGUGCCAGCAGCCGCGGUAAUUCCAGCUCCAAUAGCGUAUAUUAAAGUUGUUGUGGUUAAAAAGCUCGUAGUUGAACCUUGGGCCUGGCUGGCCGGUCCGCCUCACCGCGUGCACUGGUCCGGCCGGGCCUUUCCCUCUGUGGAACCUCAUGCCCUUCACUGGGUGUGACGGGGAAACAGGACUUUUACUUUGAAAAAAUUAGAGUGCUCCAGGCAGGCCUAUGCUCGAAUACAUUAGCAUGGAAUAAUAAAAUAGGACGUGUGGUUCUAUUUUGUUGGUUUCUAGGACCGCCGUAAUGAUUAAUAGGGACAGUCGGGGGCAUCAGUAUUCAAUUGUCAGAGGUGAAAUUCUUGGAUUUAUUGAAGACUAACUACUGCGAAAGCAUUUGCCAAGGAUGUUUUCAUUAAUCAGGAACGAAAGUUAGGGGAUCGAAGACGAUCAGAUACCGUCGUAGUCUUAACCAUAAACUAUGCCGACUAGGGAUCGGACGAUGUUAUAUUCUUGACGCGUUCGGCACCUUACGAGAAAUCAAAGUGCUUGGGCUCCAGGGGGAGUAUGGUCGCAAGGCUGAAACUUAAAGAAAU